RNAcentral lists this ribosomal RNA (301 nucleotides) under uncultured bacterium. RNAcentral describes it as "partial 16S ribosomal RNA". It matches the Rfam family "Bacterial small subunit ribosomal RNA", at positions 509 to 807 of the family's 1533-position model. The record is from RNAcentral.
CAGCAGCCGCGGUAAUACGAAGGUCCCGAGCGUUGUUCGGAAUCACUGGGCGUAAAGGGAGCGUAGGCGGCGUGGUAAGUCAGAUGUGAAAUCCCGGGGCUCAACCCCGGAACUGCAUCCGAUACUGCCGUGCUAGAGGAUUGGAGAGGUAGCUGGAAUUCUUGGUGUAGCAGUGAAAUGCGUGGAGAUCAAGAGGAACACUCGUGGCGAAAGCGAGCUACUGGACAAUAUCUGACGCUGAGGCUCGAAGGCCAGGGUAGCGAAAGGGAUUAGAUACCCCAGUAGUCCCUGUCUCUUAUAC